GACGAACGCUGGCGGCGUGCCUAACACAUGCAAGUCGAGCGAACCCUUCGGGGUGAGCGGCGGACGGGUGAGUAACGCGUGGGUAACCUGCCCUAUACACACGGAUAACGUACCGAAAGGUACGCUAAUACGGGAUAAAGUUGUUGGAUGGCAUCUUCUAACAAUCAAAGCUCCGGCGGUAUAGGAUGGACCCGCGUCUGAUUAGCUAGUUGGUGAGGUAAUGGCUUACCAAGGCGACGAUCAGUAGCCGACCUGAGAGGGUGAUCGGCCACACUGGAACUGAGAAACGGUGCAGACUCCUACGGGAGGCAGCAGUGGGGAAUAUUGCACAAUGGGCGAAAGCCUGAUGCAGCAACGCCGCGGGAGCGAUGAAGGGCUUCGGAUCGUAAAGCUCUGUCCUCAAGGAAGAUAAUGACGGUACUUGAGGAGGAAGCCCCGGCUAACUACGUGCCAGCAGCCGCCGUAA
This 466-nucleotide ribosomal RNA is filed under the name uncultured bacterium. Its description in RNAcentral is "partial 16S ribosomal RNA". It matches the Rfam family "Bacterial small subunit ribosomal RNA", at positions 28 to 523 of the family's 1533-position model. The record is from RNAcentral.